This 404-nucleotide ribosomal RNA is filed under the name Actinomycetes bacterium. RNAcentral's name for it is "Actinobacteria bacterium partial 16S ribosomal RNA". It matches the Rfam family "Bacterial small subunit ribosomal RNA", at positions 355 to 776 of the family's 1533-position model. The record is from RNAcentral. Lineage: Bacteria; Bacillati; Actinomycetota; Actinomycetes.
UGGGGAAUAUUGGACAAUGGGCGCAAGCCUGAUCCAGCCAUGCCGCUUGAGUGAUGAAGGCCCUAGGGUUGUAAAGCUCUUUCACCGGUGAAGAUAAUGACGGUAACCGGAGAAGAAGCCCCGGCUAACUUCGUGCCAGCAGCCGCGGUAAUACGAAGGGGGCUAGCGUUGUUCGGAUUUACUGGGCGUAAAGCGCACGUAGGCGGACUAUUAAGUCAGGGUUGAAAUCCCGGGGCUCAACCCCGGAAAUGCCUUUGAUACUGGUAGUCUUGGGUACGAGAGAGGUGAGUGGAAUUCAGAGUGUAGGGGUGAAAUUUGUAGAUAUUCGGAGAAAAAACAGUGGCGAAGGCGGCUAACUGGCUCGAUACUGACGCUGAGGUGCGAAAGCGUGGGGAGCAAACAGG